UGCGUAGGCGGGCUAAUAAGUCAGUGGUGAAAUCUUCCGGCUCAACCGGGAAACUGCCAUUGAUACUGUUAGUCUUGAGUUCGGUUGAGGUAGGCGGAAUGUGUAAUGUAGCGGUGAAAUGCUUAGAUAUUACACAGAACACCAAUUGCGUAGGCAGCUUACUAGACCGGCACUGACGCUGAGGCACGAAAGCGUGGGGAGCGAACAGGAUUAGAUACCCUGGUAGUCC
Molecule: ribosomal RNA, 229 nt
Filed under: uncultured bacterium
Lineage: Bacteria
Description: partial 16S ribosomal RNA
Rfam family: Bacterial small subunit ribosomal RNA
Source: RNAcentral